This 428-nucleotide long non-coding RNA is filed under the name Homo sapiens (human). RNAcentral's name for it is "non-protein coding lnc-ARL5A-1:3". Lineage: Eukaryota; Metazoa; Chordata; Mammalia; Primates; Hominidae. The record is from RNAcentral.
AUGAAGCUCUCAGUUCAGAGAUCAAGAUGAUUGGGGGAUAAGAAGAAGAAAAACAUUCCUGCAGGACUGGUCUGGGCAGAAGAGGAGUUGUGGUAACUAGAUAUGAGGAGAAAGAGAGGAAGGAGGCACAGAGCAGUUGGAGCUUGCUGCCUGGAAGAAUGACGUUUUAGAGACAAGGUCUGACUGUGUUGCCCAGGCUGGACUUCAACUCCUCAGUACAAGUGAUCCUCCUGCCUGAGCCUCCUGAAUAGCUGGGACUACAGGCCUGCACCACCAUACCCUGCUCUAGUUACACAAAUCUUAAAAUGAUGCUGUUAUGUUAAUUCAAUUAAGAAAGUAAACUAGUUCUAUGAUCCAAGCACAUAGUUGUGACUCAAUUCAUGUUGUUGUUUUUAAUCCUGAAAUGAUAUUGUAAAAUAAGAGCUUUG